This 1441-nucleotide ribosomal RNA is filed under the name uncultured prokaryote. Its description in RNAcentral is "partial 16S ribosomal RNA". It matches the Rfam family "Bacterial small subunit ribosomal RNA". The record is from RNAcentral.
AGAGUUUGAUCCUGGCUCAGAACGAACGCUGGCGGCAGGCUUAACACAUGCAAGUCGAACGAUAUAGUGGCAGACGGGUGAGUAACGCGUGGAAACGUGCCUUUCACUACGGAAUAGCUUUUGGAAACGAAAGGUAAUACCGUAUACGCCCUCCGGGGGAAAGAUUUAUCGGUGAAAGAUCGGUCCGCGUUAGAUUAGCUAGUUGGUGAGGUAACGGCUCACCAAGGCUACGAUCUAUAGCUGGUCUGAGAGGAUGAUCAGCCACACUGGGACUGAGACACGGCCCAGACUCCUACGGGAGGCAGCAGUGGGGAAUAUUGCACAAUGGGCGCAAGCCUGAUGCAGCCAUGCCGCGUGAAUGAUGAAGGCCUUAGGGUUGUAAAAUUCUUUCGCCAGGGAUGAUAAUGACAGUACCUGGUAAAGAAGCCCCGGCUAACUUCGUGCCAGCAGCCGCGGUAAUACGAAGGGGGCUAGCGUUGUUCGGAAUUACUGGGCGUAACGCACGUAGGCGGACUUUUAAGUCAGAUGUGAAAUCCCGAGGCUCAACCUCGGAACUGCAUUUGAAACUGGGAGUCUAGAGAUCAGGAGAGGUUAGCGGAAUACCGAGUGUAGAGGUGAAAUUCGUAGAUAUUCGGUGGAACACCAGUGGCGAAGGCGGCUAACUGGACUGAUACUGACGCUGAGGUGCGAAAGUGUGGGGAGCAAACAGGAUUAGAUACCCUGGUAGUCCACACCGUAAACGAUGAGUGCUAGUUGUCUGCAGGCAUGCCUGUAGGUGACGCAGCUAACGCAUUAAGCACUCCGCCUGGGGAGUACGGCCGCAAGGUUAAAACUCAAAGAAAUUGACGGGGGCCCGCACAAGCGGUGGAGCAUGUGGUUUAAUUCGAAGCAACGCGCAGAACCUUACCUACGCUUGACAUGCCUGGACGACUCCGAGAGAUCGGUUUCUCCCUUCGGGGCCAGUGCACAGGUGCUGCAUGGCUGUUCAGCUCGUGUCGUGAGAUGUUGGGUUAAGUCCCGCAACGAGCGCAACCCUCAUCCUUAGUUGCCAUCACGUUUGGGUGGGCACUCUAGGGAAACUGCCGGUGCUAAGCCGGAGGAAGGCGGGGAUGACGUCAAGUCCUCAUGGCCCUUACGCGUAGGGCUACACACGUGCUACAAUGGCAGUGACAAUGGGAUAAUCCCCAAAAGCUGUCUCAGUUCGGAUUGUCGGCUGCAACUCGCCGGCAUGAAGUUGGAAUCGCUAGUAAUCGUGGAUCAGCAUGCCACGGUGAAUACGUUCCCGGGCCUUGUACACACCGCCCGUCACAUCACGAAAGUUAGUUGCUCUUGAAGUCGCUGAGUUAACCCUCGGGAGACAGGCGCCGACAGAGUGGCUGGCGAUUGGGGUGAAGUCGUAACAAGGUAGCUGUAGGAGAACCUGCGGCUGGAUCACCUCCUU